UCCGGUUUGUCACCGGCAGUCCCAUUAGAGUGCUCAACUUAAAUGUAGCAACUAAUGGCAAGGGUUGCGCUCGUUGCGGGACUUAACCCAACAUCUCACGACACGAGCUGACGACAGCCAUGCAGCACCUGUGUUACGGCUCCCUUUCGGGCACCCCCUGAUCUCUCAGGGGUUCCGUACAUGUCAAGGGUAGGUAAGGUUUUUCGCGUUGCAUCGAAUUAAUCCACAUAAUCCACCGCUUGUGCGGGUCCCCGUCAAUUCCUUUGAGUUUUAACCUUGCGGCCGUACUCCCCAGGCGGUCAACUUCACGCGUUAGCUUCGUUACCAAGGCAUUGCUGCCCCGACAACCAGUUGACAUCGUUUAGGGCGUGGACUAC
RNAcentral lists this unclassified non-coding RNA (377 nucleotides) under uncultured Gammaproteobacteria bacterium. RNAcentral's name for it is "contains 16S-23S intergenic spacer region". The record is from RNAcentral. Lineage: Bacteria; Pseudomonadati; Pseudomonadota; Gammaproteobacteria.